This 1478-nucleotide ribosomal RNA is filed under the name uncultured organism. Its description in RNAcentral is "bacterial SSU rRNA". It matches the Rfam family "Bacterial small subunit ribosomal RNA". The record is from RNAcentral.
AGAGUUUGAUCCUGGCUCAGGACGAACGCUGGCGGCGUGCCUAAUGAAUGCGAGUCGCACGGGGAACGUAGCCUCUUCACUUCGGUGAAAGCUACGUUACCUAGUGGCAAACGGGUGAGUAACACGUGGGUAACGUGCCUCCGAGACGAGGACAACAGGGCGAAAGCCCUGCUAAUACUCGAUAAGCUGCCCCUGCAUUAGUAGGGACCAGGAAAGCUACGGCGCUUGGAGAUCGGCCCGCGGUCCAUUAGCUUGUUGGUGAGGUAACGGCUCACCAAGGCGACAAUGGGUAGCUGGUCUGAGAGGACGAUCAGCCACACUGGAACUGAGAUAUGGUCCAGACUCCUACGGGAGUUAGCAUCCGGGAAUCUUGCACAAUGGGCGCAAGCCUGAUGCAGCGACGCCGCGUGGGUGAUGAAGGUCUGCGGAUCGUAAAGCCCUGUCAGGAGGGAAGACACCCGACUGUACCUCCAGAGGAAGCCCCGGCUAACUACGUGCCAGCAGCCGCGGUAAAACGUAGGGGGCUAGCGUUGUCCGGAAUUACUGGGCGUAAAGGGCACGCAGGCGGUCUGGAAAGCGGUGGGUGCAAUUCCGAGGCUUAACUUCGGAACUGCUCGCCGAACUAUCAGACUAGAGCAUGGGAGAGGACAGUGGAAUUCCCGGUGUAGCGGUGGAAUGCGUAAAUAUCGGGAGGAACACCAGUGGCGAAGGCUGCUGUCUGGAACAUUGCUGACGCUGAGGUGCGAAAGCCAGGGGAGCGAACGGGAUUAGAUACCCCGGUAGUCCUGGCCGUAAACGAUGCUCACUAGGUGUUACCGGCAUUAACCCCGGUAGUGCUGUUCUGCUAACGCGUUAAGUGAGCCGCCUGGGGAGUACGGCCGCAAGGCUGAAACUCAAAGGAAUUGACGGGGGCCCGCACAAGCGGUGGAGCAUGUGGGUCAAUUGGAUGCUACGCCAAGAACCUUACCAGGGCUUGACAUGUUGGGGCCCGCCUGAGAGAUCAGGCUUUCUCCGCAAGGAGACCCCAUCACAGGUGGUGCAUGGCUGUCGUCAGCUCGUGUCGUGAGAUGUUGGGUUAAGUCCCGCAACGAGCGCAACCCUCACCGGAUGUUGCCAUCGGCUAGGCCGGGAACUCUUCCGGAACUGCCUGAGUAAUCAGGAGGAAGGCGAGGAUGACGUCAAGUCCGCAUGCCCCAUAUGUCCUGGGCUGCACACGUGCUACAAUGGCCGGUACAAAGGGUAGCCAAACCGCGAGGUGGAGCUAAUCCCCUAAAACCGGUCCCAGUUCGGAUUGGAUGUCUGCAACUCGACUCCAUGAAGCUGGAAUCGCUAGUAAUCGCGGAUCAGCAAUGCCGCGGUGAAUACGUUCUCGGGCCUUGUACACACCGCCCGUCAAGUCACGAAAGCUGGCAGCACCCAAAGUCUGUCGGACGGCAGCCCAAGGUGAGGCCAGUGAUUGGGACUAAGUCGUAACAAGG